GAGCAUAUAGCUCAGCGCUAGAGUGUGUGUUUAGCAUGCAUGAGGUCCUGGGUUCAAUCCCCAGUACCUCCA
RNAcentral lists this transfer RNA (72 nucleotides) under Camelus bactrianus (Bactrian camel). It matches the Rfam family "tRNA". Rfam says of the family: Transfer RNA (tRNA) molecules are approximately 80 nucleotides in length. Their secondary structure includes four short double-helical elements and three loops (D, anti-codon, and T loops). Further hydrogen bonds mediate the characteristic L-shaped molecular structure. tRNAs have two regions of fundamental functional importance: the anti-codon, which is responsible for specific mRNA codon recognition, and the 3' end, to which the tRNAs corresponding amino acid is attached (by aminoacyl-tRNA synthetases). tRNAs cope with the degeneracy of the genetic code in two manners: having more than one tRNA (with a specific anti-codon) for a particular amino acid; and 'wobble' base-pairing, i.e. permitting non-standard base-pairing at the 3rd anti-codon position. The record is from Rfam by way of RNAcentral. RNAcentral also lists the same sequence under 2 other names. Lineage: Eukaryota; Metazoa; Chordata; Mammalia; Artiodactyla; Camelidae.